RNAcentral lists this long non-coding RNA (595 nucleotides) under Dromaius novaehollandiae (emu). Its description in RNAcentral is "lncRNA (ENSDNVG00000011312.1)". The record is from RNAcentral. Lineage: Eukaryota; Metazoa; Chordata; Aves; Casuariiformes; Dromaiidae.
AUGGCUCAGUCCUUGCUAGGUGCCAAGGACUGGUUCAUCGCUGAGCCCUGCAGCUCUGAACCCGUUAAUAGUGGAUCCCGUUUUCUCAUAGCAGCAUCAGCAAAACAGAAACCGUUUCUGCCUGGGCAUAGACGAUGGACAGAUCAGCACAGAGUCUAAAAACCAAUGUAACAUUGACCAAGGACUGCCAAGGUGUACUGAUCAAGAGCAUCAUGUAGCUGCACAUACACAGGUAUUUCCUGAGCUUCCAGGAGACACGGUUGAAAAUUAGGCUAUAUUUGUCUUGCUUUAAGCUAAUUGUUUUUUUCCUUAAGAUCUGACAGUUUCUUGCAGCCUGAACACUGGCUACAUAAGGUGUUUCCUCUUUGUGUUAUUUGGUUAUUAUUUCCCUAGUGCUAAUGCUACUGUGCUGCUUCCAUGUGAAAUCCCAGAAUGGUGCCUCUUCUGGCUCCUUGAAAAUAGGAGGCAACAGGCUCAGCCAAAACUGAGCAGUCAUCAGCGAAUGCAAGAUUAGGUAUUUGUACUGCAUCAAAACCAGUAUUUGAUGCAGGUAAAAACCGAUCAGUGGACAACAUAAUACCAGCAGUCUAAAGCU